RNAcentral lists this ribosomal RNA (433 nucleotides) under uncultured bacterium. Its description in RNAcentral is "bacterial SSU rRNA". It matches the Rfam family "Bacterial small subunit ribosomal RNA", at positions 30 to 504 of the family's 1533-position model. The record is from RNAcentral.
UGAACGCUGGCGGUAUGCUUUACACAUGCAAGUCGUACGAGAGUUUUUAACUCAAGUGGCGGACGGGUGAGUAACACGUAAGAAUUUGCCUUUAGGAGGGGGACAACAACUGGAAACGGUUGCUAAUACCCCAUAUGCUUUCGAGUGAAACGGUUUUUCCGCCUAAAGAGAAGCUUGCGGCUGAUUAGCUUGUUGGUAAGGUAAUGGCUUACCAAGGCGACGAUCAGUAUCUGGUUUGAGAGGACGAUCAGACACACUGGAACUGAGACACGGUCCAGACUCCUACGGGAGGCAGCAGUGGGGAAUUUUCCGCAAUGGGCGAAAGCCUGACGGAGCAAUACCGCGUGAGGGAUGAAUGCCUAUGGGUUGUAAACCUCUUUUUUCAGGGAGGAAUCAAUGACGUGUACCUGAAGAAUAAGCAUCGGCUAACUCC